UGUUAAAACAGUUUUCUCAAACAAAUACCUUCAAAUUUUUGGAAAGUCUAAACCAGUAUUCAUGCUACUUCUGGGCCAUUAAUUAUGGAUAACUCGUGGCUUCUAACCUUUAUUGUGGGCUGUAUUGUUGGCUACUUGAUAGGGAAAAAUCAUUAAAAAAGCUUUUUCGAAUUUCACAUUAACUGAUUAUUUUUGGCAAAAAUGGAUGUUGACUGGGUGAUCACAUUUCUAGUUGGCUGUUUGGUAGGAUACGUGGUGGCCAGGAAUACCUAAAAUUUAAACAUUUUCCAAAUCAAAAUCAAAGAAGCAACAUGACCCACGUUAUCUCCUUUGCCCUGGGAGUGAUUAUUGGAAUGAUGAGCUGCCGAAGAUGCUAACAUCCCUCGUCCCUUUGAGCUGAAAUUAUCAUAAAUUUAUCAAGAAAUAUGGCUAAAUAAAUAUUAUAACUAAAAAAUAA
Molecule: long non-coding RNA, 457 nt
Organism: Drosophila elegans
Lineage: Eukaryota; Metazoa; Arthropoda; Insecta; Diptera; Drosophilidae
Exons: 3
Source: RefSeq, a predicted model, not a curated record